CACGUAGGGACCAAGCGUUGUCCGGAUUCAUUGGGCGUAAAGAGCUCGUAGGCGGCUCAGUAAGUCGGGUGUGAAACCUCCAGGCUCAACCUGGAGACGCCACCCGAUACUGCUGUGGCUAGAGUCCAGUAGGGGAGCGUGGAAUUCCUGGUGUAGCGGUGAAAUGCGCAGAUAUCAGGAGGAACACCAAUUGCGAAGGCAGCUCGCUGGGACGUAACUGACGCUGAGACGCGAAAGCGUGGGGAGCAAACAGG
This 254-nucleotide ribosomal RNA is filed under the name uncultured bacterium. RNAcentral describes it as "partial 16S ribosomal RNA". It matches the Rfam family "Bacterial small subunit ribosomal RNA", at positions 524 to 776 of the family's 1533-position model. The record is from RNAcentral.